UCCAAGAAAGAAGGAAGCUAGGUAAUCAAAUUUAGAAAUGCUUUAAAAUCAAUUAAGCCACUACUACUGAUUUUGGAUUAUAAAUUAUAGCAUGUGUUGAGUUGAACACAUGUUGUAGGCUGUAGCAAGGGUAAUGGCUUCAAAUUUUAGGUGUUCGCUUAUUUGGGUGAUUCUCUUUCUCUGUUUGUUGAGUUUUUCUACCAAAGUAUUAACAAGGAACAUUCCUAUCGUUUCUGAACACUAUACAGAUGAAAUGGGAGUGAAUAAAAGAGUCCUUCGACAAGAAAAUCGACCACCAAAAUGUAGAAGGGGAAGAAUGACUUAUGUUGUGAGUCGUUUCAAGAAAGAUAAACCACGUUGCCAUCAUUAUUUAUGAUAUGUUGUUUGAUUAAUUAUUAGAUAUUGUAUGAUGAAGUUGCAGAAAAAUAAUUUCGAAUCGAGAUAGUAUCUUAUUUUAUUUAAUUUAAAAUAUACUGUAUCUAUUAAUUUUGAUUAUUCUCAAUAAUAUAUUAAAUUAUUUAA
Long non-coding RNA from Trifolium pratense (red clover), 522 nucleotides. RefSeq lists it as uncharacterized. Lineage: Eukaryota; Viridiplantae; Streptophyta; Magnoliopsida; Fabales; Fabaceae. The transcript is spliced from 2 exons. The record is from RefSeq and is a predicted model, not a curated record.